AAAUUUAGGAUAACACGUUUUAAACCAAGGACCUUCAAAGCCCUAAACAAGAGCACACACCUUUUAAUUUUU
Molecule: transfer RNA, 72 nt
Filed under: Cnemaspis tubaensis (Tuba Island rock gecko)
Lineage: Eukaryota; Metazoa; Chordata; Lepidosauria; Squamata; Gekkonidae
Description: Cnemaspis sp. PLW-2020a tRNA-Trp
Source: RNAcentral